CCUACGGGGCGCAGCAGUGGGGGAUAUUGCACAAUGGGGGGAACCCUGAUGCAGCGACGCCGCGUGGGUGAAGGAGCGUUUCGGCGCGUAAAGCCCUAUCGGCAGGGAAGAAGAUGACGGUACCUGACCAAGAAGCCCCGGCUAACUACGUGCCAGAAGCCGCGGGAAUACGUAGGGGGCAAGCGUUAUCCGGAUUUACUGGGGGUAAAGGGGGCGCAGACGGCAAUGCAAACCAGGAGUGAAAGCCCGGGGCCCAACCCCGGGACUGAUCUUGGAACUGCAUGGCUGGAGUAUCGGGGGGGUAGGCGGAAUUCCUAGUGUAGCGGUGAAAUGCGUAGAUAUUAGGAGGAACACCAGUGGCGAAGGCGGCCUGCUGGACUGUGACUGACGUUGAGGCCCGAAGGCGUGGGGAGCAAACAGGAUUAGAUACCCUUGUAGUC
This 440-nucleotide ribosomal RNA is filed under the name uncultured bacterium. Its description in RNAcentral is "partial 16S ribosomal RNA". It matches the Rfam family "Bacterial small subunit ribosomal RNA", at positions 338 to 795 of the family's 1533-position model. The record is from RNAcentral.